AGCCCAGCUGUAACUCGGCGCAGGCCCAGCCGUGACCGCUCCUCACACGCAGUACGAGCCGCCGAAGCUAAACGCCCUGGGGCAGCGCUCGAGCAGUGCGUGCACAGAGCCCCACACGGGCGCACUCUCCACGAGCAGCCCCGUGUAACUUCCAACCCAGGCCCCGCGGCUCGGCGUGCGCGGAACGAAACCUCCGCGGCGGCCCCGAGCGGCACCCGUGUGCUCGGACACCGGAACUCCGCCGCCGUGAGGGCACGACGGCUCUGGGCACGACCCAGCUCUCCCACAGCGCUCUGAGUGGCCUUUUUUUUUUUUUUUUUUUUUUGGCUACUUCUACAAAACGAGAGGCCAGGAGGCUGCCUCCAUCCGUCCCGCUCCUUUAUAGAACCGCAGGGACGGCCCUCACGUACCCCGCACCCCCCCACUCACCGCUCCGCACUGCGCACGCUCCGCCGGGCCGCGGGCGGGAACACGGCUGAGGGCGGGAACACGGCUGAGGGGCGGCUGCGCUGUGGAGACUCCGCCUUCAGCCCUGUGUUUGUGGCCGGGCGCGAGCGUUUUGCUCGCGGAGCUGUUCCUUACCGGUGUUAAAGUCACAUAAGCAGCAGAAGUCAGGGAGGGACCUUCCUUGAUCGUCGCCUCCCUGCGGCGUGGUUGGGGGACGCAGCGCUGCUCGAGGGCCCGCGCGUCCCCACUGCUGACAGGAGAGUGAAAAGGGCCGAUAGAGCGCUGCGAGAGUUCUCCCAGGGCUGCUGGUCACAGCGGGUGGCUGCAGCCGCUGUCCCCCUGUGCUGGGUGGUCAGAGGAAGUGACAGUCGCGCCUCCGUGAUCUGCCGUGGGUCUGCCCUUUGCUGUGGGCACCCCCUGCACUCCUCUCCCGCGCUGAGGCAGAUAGCGAGGGAGAAUGAAGGGCGUUAAUCUCAGGCUUGGCACCUGGCAUCCCCCGGAGGAAGGCAGGAGGUCGCUGUGGGUGCGGUAUAAUGGAGGAGAGAGCAGCAAGCUGUGCCCGCCAGCAGCCGGCUUCACCCCUCACACCAUCAGCGGUGCUGAGAGCUCUGGCGGGCAUAGCACCAAGUGCUGCCACAGGUUGGAUAUAAACACCUCAGGUUCAGAAUCGAAGCCCACAAAGCCUAUUGGAAGUGCCUCACAGAUUUAUUGGGCUUCAGUGCCGUGAUUUUUCAGGAGCGGCAUCGGAUGCCAGCCCCAGGCAGCCUGCGAAGUCUCACUCAGAUGCUUGGUCCAGAGAGAAGUGUGCUGCAUCCGCGGGCAAUACCAGCCUAAUCCCCUCCUCUGAAAUCGCUCACACAUCAAAGAGAUUUAAAAAACAUGCUCUGCAUGCAUUAUCUUUUGCAUUUCAAGACUGAGUUCUUCAACAAUGCCUGUUUGAUCUGAUGGGAUAGAGGGUUCUUCCAAAAGAUGGGUGUGAGAGAAUAAUGUGGGGCUGGGAAUAAUUUUUUAUCAAUGUACUUAAAGGCAAUCACAGCGCUAGGAGGGAGGCCUAAUUGUGGAGUUGUGUAAUUAGUUUUUAUGUCACUGCAAUUAUUCUGUUGGCUACAUAUAAAGAACAUGGCAAAAUGCGACACUUAAUUUUAAAUCGGGACUUGAUUCUCUUUUAGUAGGUAAUUGAUGUUGAUCACAUCACUUAGCAGUGACUAUAAAAUGCACUAUUUAGAUUGUGAAAGAAUGGAGAAAAGGACAAAGCAGAUAGGUAGUUGAUGGAUCACGGGCUGCAUUGGUGGGAGGCAGCAUUAAUCCAUCAGACUUCAGCUGUAUCUGUUCACAGCCACUUCUGGACACUGUUAUUGGCCCAGAGCACUAACGAACACAGAGCCACUGCUCCCCGCAGCCCAAAGCAUCGCACACUGCAGUGAGCAGCCACUCUGCCCCCAGAUGCUGGUGUCAGCCCAUGAAUUUGCACUUAAUGCAAUUGAUUCCUUGUGUUUAAACACCUUCCUGCUAAAGGCAGGCUUUGUUUUCUGCUGCUCGGCUUCAAGCGCAUGCUCAGGAUUUUGCUCCAGGGAAUCAAAUAAAAGAGAAGCUGAAUUGGUAAAACUUUUCCUUGCCUUUG
Molecule: long non-coding RNA, 2068 nt
Organism: Gallus gallus (chicken)
Lineage: Eukaryota; Metazoa; Chordata; Aves; Galliformes; Phasianidae
Exons: 3
Source: RefSeq, a predicted model, not a curated record